AGCUGCAGGCUGAGGGGAUCAUGGUGCAGUAUGAGCUGUGGGCCGCGCUGCCUGGCGCCUCCGGGGUCGCCCUGGCCUGCUGCUUCGUGGCGGCGGCCGUGGCCCUGCGCUGGUCCGGGCGCGGGGCGGCGCGGGGCGCGGUGGUCCGGGCGCGACAGAGGCAGCGAGCGGGCCUGGAGGACAUGGACAGGGCGGCGCAGCGCUUCCGGCUCCAGAACCCAGACCUGGACUCAGAGGCACUGCUAGCCCUGCCCCUGCCUCAGCUGGUGCAGAAGUUACACAGUAGAGAGCUGUCCCCUGAGGCCGUGCUCUUCACCUAUGUGGGAAAGGCCUGGGAAGUGAACAAAGGGACCAACUGUGUGACCUCCUAUCUGGCUGACUGUGAGACUCAGCUGUCUCAGGCCCCAAGGCAAGGCCUGCUCUAUGGCGUCCCUGUGAGCCUCAAGGAGUGCUUCACCUACAAGGGCCAGGACUCCACGCUGGGCUUGAUCCUGAAUGAAGGGGUGCCGGCGGAGUGUGACAGCGUAGUGGUGCAUGUGCUGAAGCUGCAGGGUGCCGUGCCCUUCGUGCACACCAAUGUUCCCCAGUCCAUGUUCAGACCGUGAACCCAUGGAAGUCCUCCAAAAGCCCAGGGGGCUCCUCAGGGGGUGAAGGGGCCCUCAUCGGGUCUGGAGGCUCCCCCCUGGGCUUAGGCACUGAUAUAGGAGGCAGCAUCCGCUUCCCCUCCUCCUUCUGCGGCAUCUGCGGCCUCAAGCCCACAGGGAACCGC
RNAcentral lists this small RNA (769 nucleotides) under Pongo abelii (Sumatran orangutan). RNAcentral describes it as "processed transcript". The record is from RNAcentral. Lineage: Eukaryota; Metazoa; Chordata; Mammalia; Primates; Hominidae.